CUCUCAGGAGACUGCCGGGGUCAACUCGGAGGAAGGUGGGGACGACGUCAAGUCAUCAUGCCCCUUAUGUCUUGGGCUGCACACGUGCUACAAUGGCCGGUACAAUGAGCUGCGAUGCCGUGAGGCGGAGCGAAUCUCAAAAAGCCGGUCUCAGUUCGGAUUGGGGUCUGCAACUCGACCCCAUGAAGUCGGAGUUGCUAGUAAUCGCAGAUCAGCAUUGCUGCGGUGAAUACGUUCCCGGGCCUUGUACACACCGCCCGUCACGUCACGAAAGUCGGUAACACCC
RNAcentral lists this ribosomal RNA (286 nucleotides) under Streptomyces sp. RNAcentral describes it as "partial 16S ribosomal RNA". It matches the Rfam family "Bacterial small subunit ribosomal RNA", at positions 1138 to 1422 of the family's 1533-position model. The record is from RNAcentral. Lineage: Bacteria; Bacillati; Actinomycetota; Actinomycetes; Kitasatosporales; Streptomycetaceae.